UGGGGAAUCUUGGACAAUGGGCGCAAGCCUGAUCCAGCCAUGCCGCGUGAGUGAAGAAGACCUUCGGGUUGUAAAGCUCUUUUACCAGGGACGAUAAUGACGGUACCUGGAGAAUAAGCCCCGGCAAACUUCGUGCCAGCAGCCGCGGUAAUACGAAGGGGGCUAGCGUUGUUCGGAAUUACUGGGCGUAAAGCGCACGUAGGCGGAUUGUUAAGUCAGAGGUGAAAUCCCGGAGCUCAACUUCGGAACUGCCUUUGAUACUGGCAAUCUAGAGUCCGGAAGAGGUUAGUGGAAUUCCCAGUGUAGAGGUGAAAUUCGUAGAUAUUGGGAAGAACACCAGUGGCGAAGGCGGCUAACUGGUCCGGUACUGACGCUGAGGUGCGAAAGCGUGGGGAGCAAACAGGAUUAGAUACCCCUGUAGUCCCUGAGCGGGCUGGCAAGGCGCAU
RNAcentral lists this ribosomal RNA (447 nucleotides) under uncultured bacterium. RNAcentral's name for it is "bacterial SSU rRNA". It matches the Rfam family "Bacterial small subunit ribosomal RNA", at positions 355 to 825 of the family's 1533-position model. The record is from RNAcentral.